RNAcentral lists this ribosomal RNA (465 nucleotides) under Vreelandella stevensii. Its description in RNAcentral is "partial 16S ribosomal RNA". It matches the Rfam family "Bacterial small subunit ribosomal RNA", at positions 338 to 795 of the family's 1533-position model. Lineage: Bacteria; Pseudomonadati; Pseudomonadota; Gammaproteobacteria; Oceanospirillales; Halomonadaceae. The record is from RNAcentral.
CCUACGGGUGGCAGCAGUGGGGAAUAUUGGACAAUGGGGGGAACCCUGAUCCAGCCAUGCCGCGUGUGUGAAGAAGGCCCUCGGGUUGUAAAGCACUUUCAGUGAGGAAGAACGCCUGGUGGUUAAUACCCAUCAGGAAAGACAUCACUCACAGAAGAAGCACCGGCUAACUCCGUGCCAGCAGCCGCGGUAAUACGGAGGGUGCGUGCGUUAAUCGGAAUUACUGGGCGUAAAGCGCGCGUAGGUGGCUUGAUAAGCCGGUUGUGAAAGCCCCGGGCUCAACCUGGGAACGGCAUCCGGAACUGUCAAGCUAGAGUGCAGGAGAGGAAGGUAGAAUUCCCGGUGUAGCGGUGAAAUGCGUAGAGAUCGGGAGGAAUACCAGUGGCGAAGGCGGCCUUCUGGACUGACACUGACACUGAGGUGCGAAAGCGUGGGUAGCAAACAGGAUUAGAUACCCCAGUAGUC